UGCAAGUCGAACGAAGUAGCAAUACUUAGUGGCAGACGGGUGAGUAACAUGUAGGUAUCUGCCCUUUGGCCUGGAAUAACACGAGGAAACUUGUGCUAAUACCGGAUAAGUCUUUACGGAGAAAGCUUUAUGCACCAUUGGAUGAGCCUGCAUUUGAUUAGUUUGUUGGUGGGGUAAUGGCCUACCAAGACUGUGAUCAAUACCUGAUUUGAGAGGAUGAUCAGCCACAUUGGGACUGAGACACGGCCCAAACUCCUACGGGAGGCAGCAGUGGGGAAUCUUGCACAAUGGAGGAAACUCUGAUGCAGCGAUGCCGCGUGAGUGAAGAAGGCCUUUGGGUUGUAAAGCUCUUUCGUCGGGGAAGAAAAUGACUGUACCCGAAUAAGAAGGUCCGGCUAACUUCGUGCCAGCAGCCGCGGUAAUACGAAGGGACCUAGCGUAGUUCGGAAUUACUGGGCUUAAAGAGUUCGUAGGUGGUUGAAAAAGUUGGUGGUGAAAUCCCAGAGCUUAACUCUGGAACUGCCAUCAAAACUUUUCAGCUAGAGUAUGAUAGAGGAAA
Molecule: ribosomal RNA, 559 nt
Filed under: uncultured marine bacterium
Lineage: Bacteria
Description: bacterial SSU rRNA
Rfam family: Bacterial small subunit ribosomal RNA
Source: RNAcentral